AUUGAACGCUGGCGGCAGGCUUAACACAUGCAAGUCGAGCGGAGAUGAGGUGCUUGCACCUUAUCUUAGCGGCGGACGGGUGAGUAAUGCUUAGGAAUCUGCCUAUUAGUGGGGGACAACAUUCCGAAAGGAAUGCUAAUACCGCAUACGUCCUACGGGAGAAAGCAGGGGAUCUUCGGACCUUGCGCUAAUAGAUGAGCCUAAGUCGGAUUAGCUAGUUGGUGGGGUAAAGGCCUACCAAGGCGACGAUCUGUAGCGGGUCUGAGAGGAUGAUCCGCCACACUGGGACUGAGACACGGCCCAGACUCCUACGGGGGGCAGCAGUGGGGAAUAUUGGACAAUGGGGGGAACCCUGAUCCAGCCAUGCAGCGUGUGUGAAGAAGGCCUUAUGGUUGUAAAGCACUUUAAGCGAGGAGGAGGCUACUGAGACUAAUACUCUUGGAUAGUGGACGUUACUCGCAGAAUAAGCACCGGCUAACUCUGUGCCAGCAGCCGCUGUAA
RNAcentral lists this ribosomal RNA (501 nucleotides) under uncultured bacterium. Its description in RNAcentral is "partial 16S ribosomal RNA". It matches the Rfam family "Bacterial small subunit ribosomal RNA", at positions 30 to 523 of the family's 1533-position model. The record is from RNAcentral.